UUUUCUAUAGUACAAUAAGUACCUAACACCUUCAUUGUUAAAAUAGAGCUUUAUCUUAGAAAUA
This 64-nucleotide transfer RNA is filed under the name Antrokoreana gracilipes. Its description in RNAcentral is "tRNA-Glu". The record is from RNAcentral. Lineage: Eukaryota; Metazoa; Arthropoda; Diplopoda; Julida; Nemasomatidae.